AGAGUUUGAUCAUGGCUCAGAUUGAACGCUGGCGGCGUGCCUAACACAUGCAAGUCGAGCGGUAACAGGUGUAGCAAUACAUGCUGACGAGCGGCGAACGGGUGAGUAAUGCUUCGGAAUCUGCCCAAUGGUGGGGAAUAACCAGCCGAAAGGUUGGCUAAUACCGCAUACGUCCUACGGGAGAAAGCAGGGGAUCGCAAGACCUUGCGCCAAUGGAUGAGCCGAAGUCGGAUUAGCUAGUUGGUAGGGUAACGGCCUACCAAGGCGACGAUCCGUAGCUGGUCUGAGAGGACGACCAGCCACACUGGGACUGAGACACGGCCCAGACUCCUACGGGAGGCAGCAGUGGGGAAUAUUGGACAAUGGGGGAAACCCUGAUCCAGCGACGCCGCGUGUGUGAAGAAGGCCUGCGGGUUGUAAAGCACUUUUAGUGGGGAUGAAAAGUUCAGGGCUAAUACCCCUGGAUCUUGACCUAACCCACAGAAAAAGCACCGGCUAACUCUGUGCCAGCAGCCGCGGUAAUACAGAGGGUGCAAGCGUUAAUCGGAAUUACUGGGCGUAAAGCGUGCGUAGACGGUUACAUAAGUCGGGUGUGAAAGCCCCGGGCUCAACCUGGGAAUUGCAUUCGAGACUGCGUAGCUAGGGUGCGGAAGAGGGAAGCGGAAUUUCCGGUGUAGCGGUGAAAUGCGUAGAUAUCGGAAGGAACACCAGUGGCGAAAGCGGCUUCCUGGUCCAGCACCGACGUUCAGGCACGAAAGCGUGGGGAGCAAACAGGAUUAGAUACCCUGCUAGUCCACGCCGUAAACGAUGAUCACUAGACGUUGGUUCUGCUCUGCAGAAUUAGUGUCGUAGCUAACGCGAUAAGUGAUUCGCCUGGGGACUACGGGUCGCAGAUUAAAACUUAAAGGAAUUGACGG
Molecule: ribosomal RNA, 917 nt
Filed under: uncultured bacterium
Lineage: Bacteria
Description: bacterial SSU rRNA
Rfam family: Bacterial small subunit ribosomal RNA
Source: RNAcentral